CGGCCCUUGAGGCCUGGAGUUGGAGACCCCUGCUCUAAAGUAAAGAGGGAAGGAAAUACUUGUUUUCACUCCAAGCUAAUGCAACUGGAGGAAAGCCAAAUUCUUCAGAGAGGCCAGAUAUGAGUUACUUUGCAUUCCAGUCUGUUUUGAGGUGGACAGGUGGGUGGAGGCACGUGACUCUUCUGCUGACAGAUCACAACAAGAUGUGAGAAAAAUUCGGCGUGAUCAAGAAAAACUAUCAAAAGAUCCCAGUGAGAAUUUUUUGAAAAACACCAGAAAUAAGCAAAACUGGGACAGAGUGGGGUCUGUAUUAACCCCGCCCCUCUUAUUUUGGCCUGGAAUAGAACAGGUGGAGGAAGGAGGGGGCAGUUUGCAGCAGGAGACCAGAGAAAGAAAUGAAGGAAACGGGAAGGAAAUGACGAAGGCUUGCUCUCUGAAACAGCUAAGCUGCCACUCUCUCUUUAUCAUCCUGUAUGGAAACCUGGAAAAACACACAAACACAUAGGGUGUUGUUGUUGACUGCCAUACAAAACACAGGAUCUCAGGCACAGGAUGAUAAACAAAGAACAUGGAGAGCAAAUAGAAUUGAAGAGGACACAAUCAAAGAGACAACAGGAAAAAAAGGCAGACUGUUGUGCCGAUGGAUUACAAGUGGGGGAAAAAAAGAGUCACAAAGAAAUGGCAAAACAAAGAAGAAAGUUAAACACCAGAAAUGAGAGACACAUGGUUUGGGCAGUCUGCCCAGAGCAGAGAUACUUAAUGCCGCUCUCUUCAUGAGGUAUCUUCUGACCUCCCGAUCAUGGGAACGAGGUGAAGAGGACCAGAGGUGUGCCCUGUGGUAUCAUGAACAAAGCUGUUCCAGCAGAUCCUUUGGUUCCUCAUGGUGGACAGCAGAACUCCAUGGAUCUGGACAACAAUCUGCAACACUGCAUUGUAAAAAGAUGCUGUUAUUGUAUUUGUCAGGGGCUUAAUUACCCCAACAUGUGUAACUAGAUUUUAUUUGCAUUAGCUAGAACUAGCUAAA
Oreochromis aureus is the source of this 1024-nucleotide long non-coding RNA. RefSeq lists it as uncharacterized. The transcript has 5 exons. The record is from RefSeq and is a predicted model, not a curated record. NCBI's taxonomy places the organism in Eukaryota, Metazoa, Chordata, Actinopteri, Cichliformes, Cichlidae.